CCCGCUUUUCACCUGCCAUGACGUCACUAGCACAGAUCAAGCGCAUCGCUACUACCACCUCAUAUUCUGACCUGACUCCAUACUGUACAUAUCGUACUUAAAGUACCUGUCUAUCAUAAUUUCACCCGUUCUCUACGAUUACAAUAAACUCUACAGAAUAUUAAUAUAUUAACAAAUAUACAACGUUUCUAAACUUUUGUGACCUGGUUUAACUGUUAUAACCAUAACCAGAAAAACCGCCAUUAACUAAAAGGAAACAUUAUACCGGAAACGGAAGUUAUCUACCAGAGGAACUCUGUAACAGAUAUUCUUUCUGCGGCCUGGCUCAGCGUACGUAAAUAUUUUACGGACCUAUACAUACAGCAAAACAACAGCAGCGUAGUCACAUCAAAGUAUAGUGACCCCAGCGAAAGCGAAAGUAAAGCAUAAUUUGCGAGCGCGCAUGCUCCACUGACAGCGCGCCAAUCAUAGCCUCCCGCUUCCUCUGUAUCCACCUAUACCCACUAUAAGUGAAAGUAUCCACCCAAUCCUUUACGUCCCGACUCGAACUUUGAUAAAUCGAUACUAUAGCUAUAUAUACUACUCUAUACGCUAUAGCAUAUCUAACGUACGAUUACCGGCAUACAACCACGCUAUCAGUUGCAUUUAUUGAUUGCAAUGAAUAAUUGAAGAUAAAAAGUUAACACGCAUAAUAACAUUAAUAAAAUAAACGUAAUAAUUAUUACAAAAAUAAUUGAAUUUUAAAAUCCUUCCGAUUAUAAUUGAUAUCAUCAGAUCGAAUAACCUGGCCUCCUUUUUCUCUACCUGAAUAUUAUUUGAACAUAUAAAAUUUAUUAUUUGGAAAAAAUAUAUAUCUGAAAAUAUAAAAAUAUAAAAUAACCUAUCCGAC
This is a long non-coding RNA of Microplitis mediator, 889 nucleotides long. RefSeq lists it as uncharacterized. The record is from RefSeq and is a predicted model, not a curated record. Lineage: Eukaryota; Metazoa; Arthropoda; Insecta; Hymenoptera; Braconidae. The transcript has 3 exons.